RNAcentral lists this signal recognition particle RNA (209 nucleotides) under Chlorocebus sabaeus (green monkey). RNAcentral describes it as "Metazoan signal recognition particle RNA". It matches the Rfam family "Metazoan signal recognition particle RNA". Rfam says of the family: The signal recognition particle (SRP) is a universally conserved ribonucleoprotein. It is involved in the co-translational targeting of proteins to membranes. The eukaryotic SRP consists of a 300-nucleotide 7S RNA and six proteins: SRPs 72, 68, 54, 19, 14, and 9. The record is from Rfam by way of RNAcentral. Lineage: Eukaryota; Metazoa; Chordata; Mammalia; Primates; Cercopithecidae.
GCCGGGCGAGGUGAUGUGCCCCUGUAGUCCCAGCUACUCAGGAGGCUGAGGCAGGAGGAUCGCUUGAACCUGGGAGGCGGAGGUUGUGAUGAGCCAAGAUCAUGCCAUUGCACUCCAGCCUGNNNNNNNNNNCAGGCUGGAGUGCAAUGGCAUGAUCUUGGCUCAUCACAACCUCCGCCUCCCAGGUUCAAGCGAUCCUCCUGCCUCAG